GAUGAACGCUGGCGGCGUGCCUAAUACAUGCAAGUCGAGCGAACGGACGAGAAGCUUGCUUCUCUGAUGUUAGCGGCGGACGGGUGAGUAACACGUGGAUAACCUACCUAUAAGACUGGGAUAACUUCGGGAAACCGGAGCUAAUACCGGAUAAUAUUUUGAACCGCAUGGUUCAAAAGUGAAAGACGGUCUUGCUGUCACUUAUAGAUGGAUCCGCGCUGCAUUAGCUAGUUGGUAAGGUAACGGCUUACCAAGGCAACGAUGCAUAGCCGACCUGAGAGGGUGAUCGGCCACACUGGAACUGAGACACGGUCCAGACUCCUACGGGAGGCAGCAGUAGGGAAUCUUCCGCAAUGGGCGAAAGCCUGACGGAGCAACGCCGCGUGAGUGAUGAAGGUCUUCGGAUCGUAAAACUCUGUUAUUAGGGAAGAACAUAUGUGUAAGUAACUGCGCACAUCUUGACGGUACCUAAUCAGAAAGCCACGGCUAACUACGUGCCAGCAGCCGCGGUAAUACGUAGGUGGCAAGCGUUAUCCGGAAUUAUUGGGCGUAAAGCGCGCGUAGGCGGUUUUUUAAGUCUGAUGUGAAAGCCCACGGCUUCAACCGCGGGAGGGUCAUUGGAAACUGGAAAACUUGAGUGCAGAACAGGAAAGUGGAAUUCCAUGUGUAGCGGUGAAAUGCGCAGAGAUAUGGAGGAACACCAGUGGCGAAGGCGACUUUCUGGUCUGUAACUGACGCUGAUGUGCGAAAGCGUGGGGAUCAAACAGGAUUAGAUACCCUGGUAGUCCACGCCGUAAACGAUGAGUGCUAAGUGUUAGGGGGUUUCCGCCCCUUAGUGCUGCAGCUAACGCAUUAAGCACUCCGCCUGGGGAGUACGACCGCAAGGUUGAAACUCAAAGGAAUUGACGGGGACCCGCACAAGCGGUGGAGCAUGUGGUUUAAUUCGAAGCAACGUGAAGAACCUUACCAAAUCUUGACAUCCUUUGACAACUCUAGAGAUAGAGCCUUCCCCUUCGGGGGACAAAGUGACAGGUGGUGCAUGGUUGUCGUCAGCUCGUGUCGUGAGAUGUUGGGUUAAGUCCCGCAACGAGCGCAACCCUUAAGCUUAGUUGCCAUCAUUAAGUUGGGCACUCUAAGUUGACUGCCGGUGACAAACCGGAGGAAGGUGGGGAUGACGUCAAAUCAUCAUGCCCCUUAUGAUUUGGGCUACACACGUGCUACAAUGGACAAUACAAAGGGCAGCGAAACCGCGAGGUCAAGCAAAUCCCAUAAAGUUGUUCUCAGUUCGGAUUGUAGUCUGCAACUCGACUACAUGAAGCUGGAAUCGCUAGUAAUCGUAGAUCAGCAUGCUACGGUGAAUACGUUCCCGGGUCU
Molecule: ribosomal RNA, 1374 nt
Filed under: uncultured bacterium
Lineage: Bacteria
Description: bacterial SSU rRNA
Rfam family: Bacterial small subunit ribosomal RNA
Source: RNAcentral